CUAUUGGUCGAACAGGGGACCAAUGAGAGCGCACCUCCUUUCUGCUUUACUACUCUCGCUGACUGCUGCAGCGGCUGUUCAUUCAUUGGUUUUCAGCCACUGCUCUUCGGUACAAAUCCAGGCGCGAAAAGUCUACUAUGGGGCAGAAUCACUUUAUCCAGUUUCAAAAUUAGAAACCGGAACACAUAUGCACCAUACAUUUUCUUUUUAGUUUAAAGGGUAAAAGACAUGCAAAGAAAGGAAAAUGUGGAGGAGGACUUCGUUCACAUGAGGUAUUUCGAGGCAGUUCGCAUGAAUGUGUUGUAUACUGAACAUUUUCUGAUUCUGAAAACUUAGUUGAUUAUUACAGAAUAUUAUUUUAUGCGUUUAGAUAGGCAGUCCUUUUGUCUGGGACGCAUGUGGGGAUUCUCCUCCCCUCAUUCGUUGGUCAGAUCGGAAGCUAAUUUUCACACCAUUGCCCCCCUUUUGCACCGUCCAUUUCCUAUAACGUUAGUCAACUUUCAUAUAGACUUUGAUAAUGAAUAAGUACUUUAUAGAAUCACUAAACUUAUACGUACAGCAUGUUUGUGGGGUUGCUUUAAAAUGCAUGUUAUUGGAAAGGAAUGCGACCCGUUGCUCCACCCGUCAGGGGGGACGUUUUCUAUAGGAAAACAUUGUUUAUGUAGGCUAGUAUGCUUAUUGAGGGUGGCAUAUGUCGGUUUGACGAAAAAUAUCUGCGGGUUUUCAUUAAAAGCACCAGGAUAAUUUGCUGUUUAUGCAGAAUUAGGAACCCAGACGAUAACACACAUACGUUUUAAAAAUAGCCUAUAUAUUAUAUACAAACAAAAGGCUAACAAAAGCAAAAAAAAUCUGCUUUCGCUAUCGUCGAAGAACGCUGGAAUUAAGCACUGUGUGAGUUGAAAAGUACUUUUUGUUCCGUUUCAGAUUUCAGUUAUAUUUUUUUGCGUGUUUUCAGCCCAUGCUUCCUGUUGAGCGAAUGUAUGGAACAUUCUGUGCCGUCUUCGCCAUGUUCAUGCGAAUAAAUUGCUUUGAGAAACUCUCAUGUAAGUUUCGUGCAUAGCAAGCCGUUUUGUGUCGUGUAAACGCUGUUUUUUAACCAGUAAUUUAUUGGAAACAGACUUAUUCUUCUUUCAUAUGGAUAUUGUUUUAAUGAUAUUUUUUUGACAGUUUAGUCAUGUUUAUGUUCUUUGCUGUAUUAACCACGGUGUAUUUAUACAGAAAAUGGCGGUACCCAGUCACAUCUUCCAAUUCUUUUUUGUCUAAACUGCUUUCUGUGUUCACGUUGAAGAAUUCAUAUAGUUCAUAUAUUUGCUUUAACAAGCACAUACAACAAACUUCUUUAGGUUACUAAUAUAAUCCUCAGGAAGGUUUUGAGUGUUUAGUCAUUAGUUGUUUAGACUGAAGGUUGCGUACGUUCAUCUAGUUAUUCAUUCACUUUAUACUGUUUCGCUAUUUUGAAGAAUGUUUGUUUUUGUUUUGUUUGUUUUUUUACUUUAAAAAAUGUCAAAUGUAAAAUUAAAAGUUAUGUAAUUGAAAAUUUGUAUUAUUAUUGUUCUCUACACCAUGUAAAGUUUGAAGUUUUACAUAUUUUCUGUGAUGUUUUAAUUUGAGAUAUUGGUGUUUUGUUAAGGAAUAUGAAAUAAUGAUUAUAAUGGUGAUCUGUAAAAGCAAAUAAACACAACAAAAAGCUAAAUAAACCUUGGCCUACAUAAGUUAUUUGUAGGCCAUGGCCUAUAUAAGUCUAUCCUUGUAUAGUCUCUGAGAAUUUGAUUGUUGAAAAACAUGUUUAUUUACAUUUAUGUUUUAUGAGUGGAUAUCAAAAUUAAGAUUUACCAGUAUUCGUCUCAAAUCAUUUUAAGAGAACAGUUAGCAUAACCUAUGUGAUGAGGUGGGCCUGACCUUUGACUGUGGGGCCUCAAGAAUCAAAGCACUGCAAACUUUCCUCGUAAGCUAUGAACAGAUGAUUGGAAAUAAUAAGUUGUGUUAUGUAAAUGUUUGAUAACAUGCUUGGUUAGAGGCCUGUUUGAGUGCAGUGUGUAAUGUCUGAAGAUCUUAACAGAGCUGUAAAACAUGUCUAAUCCUUUACUCAAUGUCUCAAACAGAACAAAGCUUGAUAGACCUUAGGUGUCACACACUUAAAAAUAUAUAUAAAGUGUUUCAUAGCCUACAAAGGCUUUAAGGGUUAAGAAUGCCCUCCAUUCCAGGAAAUUAUUUUUAUAAAGCACAAUCAUUAGAAUAAAUUGUACCUUAUGCAAUCAUGAUAUUUUGAGUGGUUAAUUUAAAUCCAGAAUUUAUAGCUGUGUAGUUCGUUCAGAAAUGGAUACAUUAUUUUCUUUUUUCUGUCUUAAUGGGUGUAGUUGCCAUUGAAGACAUGGGAGGUCAUAUAAUGUGCUCUAAUAUCCUGAUGUUCAUUUGAAUUGAGGGGAUGUUUAUAGGUGGCCAGGUUGAUGUGCAUUGAAGAAAAUCUAAAUUCAAGGAGAUUCUACAGAGACUUUUAUUUAAUGUGCCCAACAGUCAUUUGAACGAUUUGAUUAUUUGAAAUUUUGAACUAUUUUAAUUGCUGGAAUGGUCUGGAAAUGUAUUAACAAAAAUGAGUAAAACAAGAAAAAUAUUGUAAGAUAUUGUACACAAGUAGUGGGACUUAAGUAUUUAGCUUACUCUGUGUGCAAGUUGACUUAUGUGAGAGGAUGGCAUUCGUUUUUGUGAUAUCCAUUUACACUACAUUUGGGUUUGUUAAAGUUUCUCAAGCAAAUAUGUAGAUUGCAUAUUUAAAGAUUUUAAAGUCAUUGAUUUUCAAGAAUUUUAAAAAGCAAACAAUUGCAGAGAAAUACACGAUUUGAAGAUGACAUAAGUACUAAUUCAAUAAAUCACAGCACAAUGAAAGAAUAGUCUCCUAUGCUCAUAUUAAAAAUGUCUAAUAAGAAACAAUAUUGAUAUGAUCAAGGAGCUUUUUUUGUCAUUAUAACAAUAUACUGACAGUUGAUGCAUCCUGUUGAUUGUGCAUAAAAGAUAACCUCAUGUAUAACUUUGUACAAGAAGUAGCACAAUUAUUAGAGUUCAGUGACUUGUAAAAGAGGCAGUUAGCGAUUUAGAACUUUUAAGUCCUCCAAAGUCUGUUUUAUAGUCCUUGUUUUCACAUUUUUAUGUGUGUAUUCAAAUGUUUUUAAAUAACAUUUUAGGGGUGUUGGUCUCAUGUCACUUCCUGGCCACGUCAGGGAGUGAAAUCUAAACAAUGGUCUUGUCUCAGAACUUCCUUACUCUUCCACUCCACUGAUCUGAAAUGCCUGGAUAGGUGAAAACAAUAUGGCCGACAGUCUAAUGUAGCCAAGUGCUCCAUACUGCUCUAAUGGAGUACCUUGUGCUUGUCUGGUAGUUUAAUAUGGAUCAACCAUUGUAUUGUACAAAUUAUUUCUGUAUGAUUUGUAUUUAAUCUUUAUAGAAGGUGCAAAUAAAGGCAUUUUUUGUUCACAUUUUAUUGUAACAAUCUGAUAAUGCAAAGUAUCAAUGUUCUUCUUUUCACCUGUUACUAUUAUUAAUAAUUAUGACCCAAUUAUUGCAUUUCAGAUAUUGGUAUGUGUUUUAAGUUUAAAACCAUUUCGAAAAACCUUUUUCACAGAUAUUCACAAUUAUUACUUGCUAGAAACUGCAUUGCAGAACUUAUUUCUUUUUCUUAUUUCUGUUUUUCAUACAUUUUUUGUCUAUGGUUUUUAAAUUCAAUAUAUUCAAAAUGUUAAAACAAGUUGACAAUUCCUGUAUUGUACAUAACUACUAAAAAAAAAAAAUUUAUUAUGCUUUCAUUCCCAGCUUUGAAGAACAUAAGACUAAGUAGCACAUCAAAGCAUGUCUUGUCAGAAUAAAAAGCACAUUUAUUUUGAGGUCUUUAUUUCUUGAAAAAGACACAAAGCAACACAAAUUACUGCUGAAAAUAAAGGUAUUUGUCACAGAUUAAUGGAGGCAAUCGCAGCCUGCUUUCUGAAGUACAUGAUGCUCUGCCUUACAGAUGUACAGCAACUCACACAAACUCUCAGUACUGCAUACAUACCCGCUAAAAGAUGCCCAGUAUAUAGAAAAACUCAUACCACACCAAAUGAACACACUACCAAAACCCCCCCCCCCCCCACACA
Molecule: long non-coding RNA, 4124 nt
Organism: Cyprinus carpio (common carp)
Lineage: Eukaryota; Metazoa; Chordata; Actinopteri; Cypriniformes; Cyprinidae
Exons: 2
Source: RefSeq, a predicted model, not a curated record